RNAcentral lists this non-coding RNA (153 nucleotides) under uncultured Parabacteroides sp. Lineage: Bacteria; Pseudomonadati; Bacteroidota; Bacteroidia; Bacteroidales; Tannerellaceae. The record is from RNAcentral.
AGUGUCAACGAUUAAAAGGGAAUCAGGUGAGAAUCCUGGACAGACCCGCUGCUGUAAGUUCCGUAAGUGUCCUUGAAGGACUUGGCCACUGGAGAUAUGACUCUGGGAAGGCAUUCAAGGAUGGAAUAAGUCAGAAGACCUACCAUGGACGGA